Molecule: transfer RNA, 72 nt
Filed under: Camelus bactrianus (Bactrian camel)
Lineage: Eukaryota; Metazoa; Chordata; Mammalia; Artiodactyla; Camelidae
Also listed under: 2 other names
Rfam family: tRNA
About the family: Transfer RNA (tRNA) molecules are approximately 80 nucleotides in length. Their secondary structure includes four short double-helical elements and three loops (D, anti-codon, and T loops).
Source: Rfam by way of RNAcentral
GAGGAUAUAGCUCAGUGAUAGAGUGCAUGCUUAGCAUGCAUGAGGUCCUGGGUUCCAUCCCCAGUACCUCCA